RNAcentral lists this ribosomal RNA (274 nucleotides) under uncultured bacterium. Its description in RNAcentral is "partial 16S ribosomal RNA". It matches the Rfam family "Archaeal small subunit ribosomal RNA", at positions 473 to 747 of the family's 1478-position model. The record is from RNAcentral.
AUACCAGCCCCGCGAGUGGUCGGGACGAUUAUUGGGCCUAAAGCGCCCGUAGCCGGCCCGGCAAGUCCCCGCUGAAAUCCCCGGGCUCAACCCGGGGGCGGGCGGGGAUACUGCCGGGCUAGGGGGCGGGAGAGGCCGAGGGUACUCCCGGGGUAGGGGCGAAAUCCGAUAAUCCCGGGAGGACCACCAGUGGCGAAGGCGCUCGGCUGGAACGCGCCCGACGGUGAGGGGCGAAAGCCGGGGGAGCGAACCGGAUUAGAAACCCUUGUAGUCC